Molecule: small nucleolar RNA, 126 nt
Organism: Echinops telfairi (small Madagascar hedgehog)
Lineage: Eukaryota; Metazoa; Chordata; Mammalia; Afrosoricida; Tenrecidae
Source: Ensembl
ACUGCUCCUAGGGGCGUUGCAGCGUGGCCACCCCAGCACAGCUAUGUCAUUAGAGGGCAGAGAGAAGAGGGGCUAUGUCUAGGCUCAGGGUACGUGAACCACCUGGCUGGCUGCUAGCCCCACAGU